This 327-nucleotide ribosomal RNA is filed under the name uncultured eukaryote. Its description in RNAcentral is "partial 18S ribosomal RNA". It matches the Rfam family "Eukaryotic small subunit ribosomal RNA", at positions 1470 to 1796 of the family's 1831-position model. The record is from RNAcentral.
CCCUUAGAUGUUCUGGGCCGCACGCGCGCUACACUGACGAAUGCAACGAGCUUAUAACCUUGGCCGAAAGGUCUGGGUAAUCUCCAAAUUUCGUCGUGAUGGGGAUAGAUUAUUGCAAUUAUUAAUCUUCAACGAGGAAUGCCUAGUAAGCGCAAGUCAUCAGCUUGCGUUGAUUACGUCCCUGCCCUUUGUACACACCGCCCGUCGCUCCUACCGCUUGAAUGGUCCGGUGAAGCGUUCGGACCGUGGCCUUUGGACGGUUCGCCGUCUGUUGGCUGCGGGAAGUUCGUUAAACCUUAUCAUUUAGAGGAAGGAGAANUCGUAACA